CAUAGCAGAAAUGAUGACGGAUGAUGAUGGCAGCAGCAGCUGUUCUCCUCUGCCUUUUCCAGGGUCAUCAUGUGGCGAUGGAUUUCUGCCAGCGGCAGCACGCAGUGCACUGGGUUUACUGAGUAAACUCAUAAGUGGCCAACACAUCUUGAAGGACUCCAUUUGCUUUGAUUCAUGAGUCCAGCGAGGGAAAGUUAAUGAUUAUUGGAAAACUGACCUCACCCUCUCCGGCAUUCCCCUUUCAUUUACUGCAGAAAUGACUUUGGUUUUCAUCAGCGUCCUUGACAUUAUUGCCUCCACUUUCUUUCUUCAUCCAGUGUCUCCCUCACGCAGAAUCCAGUGCCCCUGAGACGUCACUCCUGAUGGGUUUGGUUGGAAUUCUGCCAGUGUUUGAUACUGGUGGUUAUGACUACGUGGCUUAUUAAAGGAAGAUACCAUAUGUAAUGACUCCUUGUGCACGACCAAGCAUAAAAGCCUGGAAGUGAAAAUGUGGCCCCCUUCAGUUUUUUGGCUUAGACGCUGCUGGCCUGCCAAAACCUUUGGAAGCCACAGAGGGAUACGAAGGUUCUCAAGGCUGUCCUUGAGAAGGUCGAUCGUAAGAAGAAGCCAGCAGAGGGUGCUAAUCUGAAUCAGCAGAGACCAGAGAGGCACCGUGGCAAAGCUGUGUUAAGAUUGUGAUUGAAAGCGGCUCAUAUACUGAUUUUUUUUCUUAAUCUCAGACUACAUCCGUAUUUAACCACACCUGAAAACUCUUAUUUCAUUUAGUUAAACUGCCACCAUGUGCAUGUUAAACUAUUCAGCAUGUCAGAUAGUGAUGAGCAAUUUGAGUUUUGAGUGCACGCGUCUUCAUGGUAUGAUAUUUCCUGUGGUUUUCCCAUCGCACGCAAUAGGUGAUCCACUACAGUGAGUUACCGAUACUUUCAUCACUGACAGACGACAAACCCAUUUGGUUAAUUUGCUGGAAGGAAGAAGAAAGCAAAUAUUAAUUUCUUGAAUUUUGAAACUGAACUACUGGAUCUUUUUGGUGUGACGAGACCUCUUCUUAUGAAUGUAUAAUAAAUAUAUCAGCUGCUCCAAACAAAGCUCACCCAAGUAAUUGUUAUUAUCAGAGUCUUCUGUGCAGCUUGAAUGGGUUUGCUGUCUAAUUGCUGCACUUUCACUGUAUCUUUUGUGGCCUAAUUAGCAGGCAAAACAGUUAAAAUAAGACAAACCCAGAGACACAAUUUCACAUGGUUGUCAU
Long non-coding RNA from Oreochromis aureus, 1240 nucleotides. RefSeq lists it as uncharacterized. The transcript has 5 exons. The record is from RefSeq and is a predicted model, not a curated record. Lineage: Eukaryota; Metazoa; Chordata; Actinopteri; Cichliformes; Cichlidae.